AGGGACCAUGAUUCACUGUUCAGGAUGGUCUAUGAAGGAAUGUGGAUUAACGAUAAACCCGCACAAGAAGCAGCCGAGAUCGUGAUCCUCGGUGAACAGAUCAUCGAGCUCCAGCAGGGCCAGCCUUUCACCAUUGAGGUGGAGGUCAGGACGGCCGAUGGCGAGGUCGUCGACUGCGAGCAGAACCGUCGGCUGAGGGUAUCAGCAGGUUUCAAGCACUACGUCCCUAACCAGGGAAUGCCGCUCUUUGAUCUCAUAGAAGAGAUGGAAGAAAUACCCAUCCCAACACCAUAUGGUUACGAGGUUGUAGCCUACCCCCUCACGGACUACGACAAUCUGAAAGAGAAGUUAUCAGAAUCUGUCUUAAAGCCUUCAACUGCUGCCACAGAUGCGCUGACUGUGGUAACGGAUGCCAUGACUGCAGAUAAUGUCAGUGUAACGUUAGAAGAGGACGGGGAAGGAGAGGCGGAGCUUGGACCAGAGGUUGCACCAAGCACUGAGAUACCGCCUAGUACAGCUGCUGAAACGACGAUAGCCCCUAGCGAGAUGACAGGAGAUGAGAUCUCGGAGUCACCCCUCCCUCCCCUGUCGAUCAUAGAGUAGUGGAAAAAGGAAAAGCAGAAUUCUUGGAUGUAGUUCUGCCUCCCGCUCCAUUUGGCUAUCAACCAUUCUCCAUCCUCGACAUCACCCUUGAGGAAGAAGCCCAGAAGAAGGCCAAGAACUCCAAAACGGCCGGUCUAGCGAACCAGCUUAGGAUCGGGGCCAAACUCAACAAGAGUAUAGUGCUUGUAUCCAAUGCACUCAAGUUUAUUAAUGACUUAGACGACGCUGACGAAGAUGAACUUCACGUGAAAUCAGAUCAAUUUUCUGUCGAUAAACUCAAGGACUUCAAGCUGAGCAAAG
RNAcentral lists this unclassified non-coding RNA (903 nucleotides) under Lytechinus variegatus (green sea urchin). RNAcentral describes it as "mORN repeat-containing protein 1-like, transcript variant X1". Lineage: Eukaryota; Metazoa; Echinodermata; Echinoidea; Temnopleuroida; Toxopneustidae. The record is from RNAcentral.